This 88-nucleotide small nucleolar RNA is filed under the name Carlito syrichta (Philippine tarsier). Its description in RNAcentral is "Small nucleolar RNA SNORD116 (ENSTSYG00000022671.2)". It matches the Rfam family "Small nucleolar RNA SNORD116". From Rfam's summary of the family: HBII-85 is a member of the C/D class of snoRNAs, which contain the C (UGAUGA) and D (CUGA) box motifs. HBII-85 is encoded in a tandemly repeated array with another C/D snoRNA, HBII-52, in the Prader-Willi syndrome (PWS) region of chromosome 15. Unlike most other snoRNAs, HBII-85 is expressed prevalently in the brain (but is absent in PWS patients) and lacks any significant complementarity with ribosomal RNA. Lineage: Eukaryota; Metazoa; Chordata; Mammalia; Primates; Tarsiidae. The record is from Rfam by way of RNAcentral.
GGAUUGAUGAUGAUUCCCAAAUAUACAUUACUUGGAAAUCUGAACAAAAUGAGUAAAAACUAUACUGUCAUCUUCACUGAACUGGGAC